This 497-nucleotide ribosomal RNA is filed under the name uncultured bacterium. RNAcentral describes it as "partial 16S ribosomal RNA". It matches the Rfam family "Bacterial small subunit ribosomal RNA", at positions 28 to 507 of the family's 1533-position model. The record is from RNAcentral.
GAUGAACGCUGGCGGCGUGCCUAAUACAUGCAAGUCGAGCGAACGGACGAGAAGCUUGCUUCUCUGAUGUUAGCGGCGGACGGGUGAGUAACACGUGGAUAACCUACCUAUAAGACUGGGAUAACUUCGGGAAACCGGAGCUAAUACCGGAUAAUAUUUUGAACCGCAUGGUUCAAAAGUGAAAGACGGUCUUGCUGUCACUUAUAGAUGGAUCCGCGCUGCAUUAGCUAGUUGGUAAGGUAACGGCUUACCAAGGCAACGAUGCAUAGCCGACCUGAGAGGGUGAACGGCCACACUGGAACUGAGACGCGGUCCAGACUCCUACGGGAGGCAGCAGUAGGGAAUCUGCCGCAAUGGGCGAAAGCCUGACGGAGCAACGCCGCGUGAGUGAUGAAGGUCUUCGGAUCGUAAAACUCUGUUAUUAGGGAAGAACAUAUGUGUAAGUAACUGUGCACAUCUUGACGGUACCUAAUCAGAAAGCCACGGCUAACUACGUG